UAACGCGAAGAACCUUACCAGGUCUUGACAUACUAUGCAAAUCUAAGAGAUUACACGUUCCCUUCGGGGACAUGGAUACAGGUGGUGCAUGGUUAUCGUCAGCUCGUGUCGUGAGAUGUUGGGUUAAGUCCCGCAACGAGCGCAACCCUUAUUAUCAGUUGCCAGCAUUAAGUUGGGCACUCUGGUGAGACUGCCGGUGACAAACCGGAGGAAGGUGGGGAUGACGUCAAAUCAUCAUGCCCCUUAUGACCUGGGCUACACACGUGCUACAAUGGAUGGUACAACGAGUUGCGAACUCGCGAGAGUAAGCUAAUCUCUUAAAGCCAUUCUCAGUUCGGAUUGUAGGCUGCAACUCGCCUACAUGAAGUCGGAAUCGCUAGUAAUCGCGGAUCAGC
RNAcentral lists this ribosomal RNA (395 nucleotides) under uncultured bacterium. RNAcentral describes it as "bacterial SSU rRNA". It matches the Rfam family "Bacterial small subunit ribosomal RNA", at positions 957 to 1353 of the family's 1533-position model. The record is from RNAcentral.